GGGAGCUGUAUGAGCUGAGAGGUUCACGUACAGUUCUGAGAGAGACUUAGGGGGAAGUUCCCUAGGUCUACUUGCU
This is a non-coding RNA of Pelosinus fermentans B4, 76 nucleotides long. The record is from Rfam. Lineage: Bacteria; Bacillati; Bacillota; Negativicutes; Selenomonadales; Sporomusaceae.